UGUAUCAUGAUGAAACUCAUGCGUGUCAACUGACUCUGGAAACCCCCUGCUGGGUUGGUGCUCUGGUGGGUGUUUUGCCCGCCCGAGUCGGCAGCCUGAGCAGGGAUCCGUGGGAAUGAUCUUUUGUCACUUCUGAAUACA
Dunckerocampus dactyliophorus (ringed pipefish) is the source of this 141-nucleotide small nucleolar RNA. RefSeq annotates it as small nucleolar RNA SNORD10. The transcript has a single exon. NCBI's taxonomy places the organism in Eukaryota, Metazoa, Chordata, Actinopteri, Syngnathiformes, Syngnathidae. The record is from RefSeq and is a predicted model, not a curated record.